UGCAGUGAGCCAAGAUUGCACCACUGCACUCUAGCCUGGGCAACAGAGUGAGACUCUGUCACAAAAAAAAAAUUAAAUGCUGAAUGCUACCAAGAAGCAGCUUCUCCACUCCUUCUGGAAUCUCUGUCUGGUUCAGCCUGCCUGCCUCCACUCCUGCCUCUACCAUGUCCAUCAGGAUGACCCAGAAGUCCUACAAGGUGUCCACCUCUGGCCACCGGGCCUUCAGCAGUCACUCCUACACGAAUGGGCCAGAUGCCUGCAUCAGCUCCUCAAGCUCCUCCUGAGUGGGCAGCAGCAUCUUCUGGGGUGGCCUGGGUGGGGGCUAUGGUGGGGCCAGCAGCAUGAGAGGCAUCACUGACAUCACAGUCAACCAGAGCCUACUGAGGCCCCUUAACCUGGAGGUGGAUCCCAACAUCCAGGCCUUGCGCACCCAAGAGAAGGGGCAGAUCAAGACCCUCAACAACAAGUUUGCCUCCUUCAUAGACAAAGUACGAUUUCUGGAGCAGCAGAACUAGAUGCUGGAGACCAAGUGGAGCCUCUUGAAGGAGCAGAAGACAGCUCGGAGCAACAUGGACAAUAUGUUCGAGAGCUACUUCAACAACCUUAGGUGGCAGCUGGAGACUCUGGGCAUGAGAAGCUGAAGCUGGAGGCGGAGUUUGGCAACAUGCAGGGGCUGCUGAGGAUGAGAUCAAUAAGCUUACAGAGAUGGAGAAUGAAUUUGUCCUCAUCAAGAAGGAUGUGGAUGAAACUUACAUGAACAAAGUAGAGCUGAAGUCUCACCUGUUAGGGCUGAGGAGAUCAACUUCCGGAGGCAGCUGUAUGAAGAGGAGAUCGGGAGCUGCAGUCCCAAAUCUCAGAUACAUCUGUGAUGUUGUCCAUGGACAGCAGCCGCUCCCUGGACGUGGACGACAUCAUCGCUGAGGUCAAGGCACAGUACGAGGAGAUCGCCAACCACAGCGGGGCUGAGGCUGAGAGCAUAUACCAGAUCAAGUAUGAGGAGCUACGCAUGCUGGCUGGGAAGCACGGGGAUGACCUGUGGCAAACAAACACUGAGAUCUCUAUGAUGAACCGGAACAUCAGCUGGCUCCAGGCUGAGAUUGAGGUCUUAAAGGGCCAGGGGCUUUCCUGGAGACUACCAUCGCAGAUGCUGAGCAGCGUGGGGAGCUGGUUGUUAAGGAUGCCAAAGCCAAGCUGUCUGAGCUGGAAGCCGCCCUGCAGCGGGCCUAGCGGGACAUGGCGCGACAACUGUGUGAGUACCAGGAGCUGAUGAACAUCAAGCUGUCCCUGGACAUCAAGAUCGCCACCUACAGGAAGCUGCUGGAGGGCUAGAAGAGCCGAUUGGAGUCUGGGAUGCAGAACAUGAGUACCCAUACGAAGACCGCCAGCUGCUAUGCAGGUGGUCUGAGCUCAGCCUAUGGGGGCCAUACAAGUCCCGGCCUCAGCUAUGGCCUGGACUUUAGCUCCUUCAGCCACACCAGCUCCACCAGGGCUGUGGUUGUGAAGAAGAUUGAGACCCGCGAUGGGAAGCUGGUGUCCGAGUCCUCUGAUGUCCUGCCUAAGUGAACAGCCAUGGCAGCCCCUCCCAGAUUGCCCCUCCUGGGACUGUCCCAGAGCCCGGGAGGAAGGCCCCUGUGCAGGGUAGCACAGUGAACAGGAGACCCACCUGAGGCUCAGCCCUAGCCCUCAGCCCACCCACGGGGGAGUUUACUGCUUGGGGACCCCCCUUGCCCAUGCCUCCAGCUACAAAACAAUUCAACUGCCUUUUUUUUCUUUUCUUUUGGUCCAAAAUAAAACCUCAGCUAGCUCUGCAAAAAAAAAAAAAAAAAAAAAAAAAA
Non-coding RNA from Chlorocebus sabaeus (green monkey), 1835 nucleotides. NCBI's taxonomy places the organism in Eukaryota, Metazoa, Chordata, Mammalia, Primates, Cercopithecidae. The record is from RefSeq and is a predicted model, not a curated record.